This 493-nucleotide ribosomal RNA is filed under the name uncultured bacterium. RNAcentral's name for it is "bacterial SSU rRNA". It matches the Rfam family "Bacterial small subunit ribosomal RNA", at positions 28 to 533 of the family's 1533-position model. The record is from RNAcentral.
GACGAACGCUGGCGGCGUGCUUAAAACAUGCAAGUCGAACGGACUUCUCAUGAAGCUUGCGAUUGAGAAGUUAGUGGCGGACGGGUGAGUAACGCGUGGGCAACCUGCCCCUGAGCCCGGGAUAACAGUUCGAAAGGACUGCUAAGACCGGAUAUACUUGCGGUGAAGCAUUUCACUGCAAGGAAAGGGAACGCUCAGGGAUGGGCCCGCGUCCCAUUAGCUAGUUGGUGAGGUAACGGCCCACCAAGGCGACGAUGGGUAGCCGGCCUGAGAGGGUGAACGGCCACACUGGGACUGAGACACGGCCCAGACUCCUACGGGAGGCAGCAGUUGGGAAUCUUCGGCAAUGGGCGCAAGCCUGACCGAGCAACGCCGCGUGAGUGAUGAAGGUUUUCGGAUUGUAAAGCUCUGUCUUCCGGGACGAUAAUGACGGUACCGGAGGAGGAAGCCACGGCUAACUACGUGCCAGCAGCCGCGGUAAGUCAUACUCGUA